CAUGAACUCUCUAAAAUAGAGAUCUGCUGUGCUUAAGAUCCUUCAAUGGUUUCUCCCAAGAUAUUGGGAUCUCUGAAGACAAGGACUGUGUCCCCAGAAACUCAUCGACUCUCUGGUGUCUCUGGGUCUAUGCACAUGAUGUCUCCAAGGCCAGGUAUCAUUAUUUAUCUAAAUCUCCGGAGCCAUUGAGGACCAAGAUCAUACUUGCUGAAUAAAUGCACGGAACAGGAUCAGAGGAUAGACACAGAAUGGGCCAAGAAGAGAAAUAUUAUUCCUCAUAAGAGCUUGCUUGAUUGCCACCACCAAGGACAUCCCCAAACCAGGGGCAAGAAGGACCAUCAGUAAUUCUUUCCCAUAAAUAGUGACAGGAAGAAAAUAAACGCCCUAUUCUUCAAUGAUUUGAACCACCUCUGGAGCACGAACUUCCUCUAAAUUCACAGGGCAAAUAUCCAUCAUGGGGCAGGUAUCUAUGCUGCCAUGGAAAGUAACAUAAAAUGUACUAAGUCAUCACAGGGAGUUUUAAUUUUGUUUUUAAGGUCAAUUGCCAUGCUGGGGUAAAAAGCAUUGAUCCUUGCCUUUUAUCACCGGAAAAAUUCUUCACCAGUACUUUGUGAAAAUCUCGCCUCAUCAGGGCUGCCAAGGUCAAUGCAACCUAAGUAACCAAGCUGGGAGAUGCUUGCCUAAUUAUUAAAUAUUUAGCAAACAGUUUGUGACUAUUUAACUGUUUGCACCUGGCACCCUCUUUUCACUACGUGAGGCCUCCUGGCACCCUGACCUCUUCCCCCACCCCUACCCACUGCCCAGGCCGCCAGCACCCCUGGGGGGCAAAUACCGGGACCCAAGGGCAUUUCAAAGAAACAGCAGAGGUCACAUUCCAUUUCCUUUUUAUUAAAAAACAUACUUAAAAUGGGGGAGGAGGGCACAGAUCUAAGGUAAAAUCUCUUGCAGUUUUUUCAAGUUCGCAUGCACCGUUGAAAGUUCAUUAGUUAGGGAUUUAAAAGCAAAAA
This 1007-nucleotide long non-coding RNA is filed under the name Pan troglodytes (chimpanzee). Its description in RNAcentral is "long non-coding RNA NONPTRT012998". Lineage: Eukaryota; Metazoa; Chordata; Mammalia; Primates; Hominidae. The record is from RNAcentral.